AACGAACGCUGGCGGCAUGCCUAACACAUGCAAGUCGAACGAGACCUUCGGGUCUAGUGGCGCACGGGUGCGUAACACGUGGGAAUCUGCCCUUGGGUUCGGAAUAACAGUUGGAAACGACUGCUAAUACCGGAUGAUGACGUAAGUCCAAAGAUUUAUCGCCCAAGGAUGAGCCCGCGUCGGAUUAGCUAGUUGGUGGGGUAAAGGCCUACCAAGGCGACGAUCCGUAGCUGGCUGAGAGGAUGAUCAGCCACACUGGGACUGAGACACGGCCCAGACUCCUACGGGAGGCAGCAGUGGGGAAUAUUGGACAAUGGGCGAAAGCCUGAUCCAGCAAUGCCGCGUGAGUGAUGAAGGCCUUAGGGUUGUAAAGCUCUUUUACCCGGGAUGAUAAUGACAGUACCGGGAGAAUAAGCCCCGGCUAACUCCGUGCCAGCAGCCGCAGUAAG
Molecule: ribosomal RNA, 449 nt
Filed under: uncultured bacterium
Lineage: Bacteria
Description: bacterial SSU rRNA
Rfam family: Bacterial small subunit ribosomal RNA
Source: RNAcentral